This 76-nucleotide transfer RNA is filed under the name Bacillota bacterium. RNAcentral describes it as "Firmicutes bacterium (anaerobic digester metagenome) tRNA-Trp". It matches the Rfam family "tRNA". Rfam says of the family: Transfer RNA (tRNA) molecules are approximately 80 nucleotides in length. The record is from RNAcentral. Lineage: Bacteria; Bacillati; Bacillota.
AGGCCCGUAGCUCCAACGGCAGAGCAGCGGUCUCCAAAACCGAAGGGUGGGGGUUCGAAUCCCUCCGGGCCUGCCA